Molecule: ribosomal RNA, 465 nt
Filed under: uncultured bacterium
Lineage: Bacteria
Description: partial 16S ribosomal RNA
Rfam family: Bacterial small subunit ribosomal RNA
Source: RNAcentral
GACGAACGCUGGCGGCGUGCUUAACACAUGCAAGUCGAACGGAAAGGCCCUGCUUGCCGGGUACUCGAGUGGCGAACGGGUGAGUAACACGUGGGUGAUCUGCCCUGCACUUCGGGAUAAGCCUGGGAAACUGGGUCUAAUACCGGAUAGGAGCCAUUUUUAGUGUGAUGGUUGGAAAGUUUUUUCGGUGUAGGAUGAGCUCGCGGCCUAUCAGCUUGUUGGUGGGGUAAUGGCCUACCAAGGCGGCGACGGGUAGCCGGCCUGAGAGGGUGGACGGCCACAUUGGGACUGAGAGACGGCCCAGACUCCUACGGGAGGCAGCAGUGGGGAAUAUUGCACAAGGGGCGCAAGCCUGAUGCAGCGACGCCGCGGGGGGGAUGACGGCCUUCGGGUUGUAAACUCCUUUCGCUAGGGACGAAGCUUUUUGUGACGGUACCUAGAUAAGAAGCACCGGCUAACUACGUG